GGGCCCGCACAAGCGGUGGAGCAUGUGGUUUAAUUCGAUGAUACGCGAGGAACCUUACCAGGGCUUAAAUGUAAGUUGCAUAGAUCAGAGAUGGUCUUUUCUUCGGACUACUUACAAGGUGCUGCAUGGUUGUCGUCAGCUCGUGCCGUGAGGUGUCAGGUUAAGUCCUAUAACGAGCGCAACCCCUGUCGUUAGUUGCCAGCAAGUUAAGUUGGGCACUCUAGCGAGACUGCCGGUGCAAACCGCGAGGAAGGUGGGGAUGACGUCAAAUCAUCACGGCCCUUACGUCCUGGGCUACACACGUGCUACAAUGGCCGGUACAGAGAGCAGCCACUACGCGAGUAGGAG
This 348-nucleotide ribosomal RNA is filed under the name uncultured bacterium. RNAcentral describes it as "bacterial SSU rRNA". It matches the Rfam family "Bacterial small subunit ribosomal RNA", at positions 917 to 1267 of the family's 1533-position model. The record is from RNAcentral.